GCGUCCGGGCACCCGGCGUCAUUUGCAGCUAGAGCCUUCCAGGGGGCGAGCCAUAGGCAUGCCCAGACUGCGCGGCUCUUCGGCGGCGGAGACCGGAUUCCAACCUGGGCUGCAGCUCCGGCUGCCGACUGGCCGCCGAACGCGCCGCCUCCCGUCGCGGAACGCUCGCUGGCUGGCUGGCAAGCCUGCGCGCGCUGCCUCGCCGCCUUUUGCCCCGCCGGACUGCGCGUGGCGCUGCCGGAGCGUGGCGGGCUGGCUCGGGCCUCCCGGAGCCCGGUGCGACUGGCUGCCCUUAAAGGGGGGGGGGCGCGCGUGGCGGGGAGGCCGGCAGAUCGGUCCUAAGGAGGACCUGGCCUGAAAGCGCGCUUUUCCCUCAGGGCUGAGCAGGAGCCCAGCAGCCUUGACCUCGCGCUCUUUCCGAUACUGCGGGCAGAUCGACGGCGGGGGAGCCCAUCUCCCUGCCGGAGGAGGUGGAAGAGAAAGAGGCGUCGGGGAGGAAAACCGAGCUUGAAGGAAAAAGAACGUCGGGACGGCGGCGCGGCUGGCGGGGGCGAUGUCUCGCUGAGGUGUGCAGAGAGUUUGGGGACAACUUGGCGUUCGGGUCCCCGAGAAUCGAGACUUUCCGGAGCUGGGAACUGCCGGUCUCUUGUUUUUUGUCUAUGUCUUGUUGGGAGGCCUGGUGGAUAUUGCUUGCUUUCCUGAAGGAAGAAGAAGCUGGUGCUGGCGGUUGCCUCCUUAGUCUUUGGCGGACGGCAAAGGAAGAAAAAGGAUCUGGCUUGAGCUGCACAGCGACGAGAGAGCUCGGACAUGUGUCAGCACAUCUGGGGAAUAGAGGCUGCGAGUCCAAAAGGAGAUUUUCUGGGAUUGCUCAAGCUGCAAUAUUGAUCUUUGCUGUGUUUUUUCACCGAGGGAUGCACUUGGCAUGAGAAUCGGAGGAUGGAAAUUGUUUGGGAGGUGCUUUUUCUUCUGCAAGCCAAUUUCAUUGUCUGCAUUUCAGCUCAGCAGAAUUCACCAAAAAUCCAUGAAGGCUGGUGGGCUUAUAAGGAGGUGGUCCAGGGAAGCUUUGUUCCAG
Long non-coding RNA from Crotalus tigris (Tiger rattlesnake), 1072 nucleotides. RefSeq lists it as uncharacterized. The transcript has 3 exons. NCBI's taxonomy places the organism in Eukaryota, Metazoa, Chordata, Lepidosauria, Squamata, Viperidae. The record is from RefSeq and is a predicted model, not a curated record.